Molecule: ribosomal RNA, 405 nt
Filed under: uncultured Ruminococcus sp.
Lineage: Bacteria; Bacillati; Bacillota; Clostridia; Eubacteriales; Oscillospiraceae
Description: bacterial SSU rRNA
Rfam family: Bacterial small subunit ribosomal RNA
Source: RNAcentral
UGGGGAAUAUUGCACAAUGGGGGGAACCCUGAUGCAGCGAUGCCGCGUGGAGGAAGAAGGUUUUCGGAUUGUAAACUUCUGUCUUAAAGGACGAUAAUGACGGUACUUUAGGAGGAAGCUCCGGCUAACUACGUGCCAGCAGCCGCGGUAAUACGUAGGGAGCGAGCGUUGUCCGGAAUUACUGGGUGUAAAGGGAGCGUAGGCGGGAUUGCAAGUCAGAUGUGAAAGGCGGAGGCUCAACCUCCGGGCUGCAUUUGAAACUGUAGUUCUUGAGUGAAGUAGAGGUAAGCGGAAUUCCUGGUGUAGCGGUGAAAUGCGUAGAUAUCAGGAGGAACACCGGUGGCGAAGGCAGCUUACUGGGCUUUUACUGACGCUGAGGAUCGAAAGCGUGGGGAGCAAACAGGA